Molecule: signal recognition particle RNA, 99 nt
Filed under: Oscillospiraceae bacterium
Lineage: Bacteria; Bacillati; Bacillota; Clostridia; Eubacteriales; Oscillospiraceae
Description: signal recognition particle sRNA small type
Rfam family: Bacterial small signal recognition particle RNA
About the family: The signal recognition particle (SRP) is a universally conserved ribonucleoprotein involved in the co-translational targeting of proteins to membranes. Archaeal SRP consists of a 7S RNA and homologues of the eukaryotic SRP19 and SRP54 proteins. In most bacteria, the SRP consists of a 4.5S RNA and the Ffh protein (a homologue of the eukaryotic SRP54 protein).
Source: RNAcentral
GUGCGGGCCCUGUGCAGCAAAGCACCGUGAACCAUGUCAGGCGGGGAACCGAGCAGCAUUAAGCGGAACGCUUGGCGUGCCGCAGUCAGCCUGCACACC